Molecule: ribosomal RNA, 549 nt
Filed under: Talaromyces amestolkiae
Lineage: Eukaryota; Fungi; Ascomycota; Eurotiomycetes; Eurotiales; Trichocomaceae
Description: eukaryotic LSU rRNA
Rfam family: 5.8S ribosomal RNA (bases 177-330)
Source: RNAcentral
UGGCUCGACUCGGACUCGUGGCACCUCCCACCCUUGUCUCUAUACACCUGUUGCUUUGGCGGGCCCACCGGGGCCACCUGGUCGCCGGGGGACAUCUGUCCCCGGGCCCGCGCCCGCCGAAGCGCUCUGUGAACCCUGAUGAAGAUGGGCUGUCUGAGUACUAUGAAAAUUGUCAAAACUUUCAACAAUGGAUCUCUUGGUUCCGGCAUCGAUGAAGAACGCAGCGAAAUGCGAUAAGUAAUGUGAAUUGCAGAAUUCCGUGAAUCAUCGAAUCUUUGAACGCACAUUGCGCCCCCUGGCAUUCCGGGGGGCAUGCCUGUCCGAGCGUCAUUUCUGCCCUCAAGCACGGCUUGUGUGUUGGGUGCGGUCCCCCCGGGGACCUGCCCGAAAGGCAGCGGCGACGUCCGUCUGGUCCUCGAGCGUAUGGGGCUUUGUCACUCGCUCGGGAAGGACUGGCGGGGGUUGGUCACCACCAAAAUUUUACCACGGUUGACCUCGGAUCAGGUAGGAGUUACCCGCUGAACUUAAGCAUAUCAAUAAGCGGAGGAA